RNAcentral lists this ribosomal RNA (559 nucleotides) under Scheffersomyces sp. 2 HC-2012. RNAcentral describes it as "eukaryotic LSU rRNA". It matches the Rfam family "Eukaryotic large subunit ribosomal RNA", at positions 23 to 589 of the family's 3401-position model. Lineage: Eukaryota; Fungi; Ascomycota; Pichiomycetes; Serinales; Debaryomycetaceae. The record is from RNAcentral.
ACCCGCUGAACUUAAGCAUAUCAAUAAGCGGAGGAAAAGAAACCAACAGGGAUUGUCUUAGUAACGGCGAGUGAAGCGACAAAAGCUCAAAUUUGAAAUCUGGCAACUUCGGUGUCCGAGUUGUAAUUUGAAGAAGGUAACUUUGGAGUUGGCUCUUGUCUAUGUUCCUUGGAACAGGACGUCACAGAGGGUGAGAAUCCCGUGCGAUGAGAUGUCCAACUCUAUGUAAAGUGCUUUCGAAGAGUCGAGUUGUUUGGGAAUGCAGCUCUAAGUGGGUGGUAAAUUCCAUCUAAAGCUAAAUAUUGGCGAGAGACCGAUAGCGAACAAGUACAGUGAUGGAAAGAUGAAAAGAACUUUGAAAAGAGAGUGAAAAAGUACGUGAAAUUGUUGAAAGGGAAGGGUUUGAGAUCAGACUUGGUAUUUUGUAUGUCUUGCUUUCGGGUGGGGCCUCUGCAGUUUACUGGGCCAGCAUCGGUUUGGACGGUAGGAUAAUGACAUUGGAAUGUGGCACUACUUCGUGGUGUGUUAUAGACUUUGUUGAUACUGCCUGUCUAGACCG